RNAcentral lists this long non-coding RNA (1406 nucleotides) under Cricetulus griseus (Chinese hamster). Its description in RNAcentral is "lncRNA (ENSCGRG00015035701.1)". The record is from RNAcentral. Lineage: Eukaryota; Metazoa; Chordata; Mammalia; Rodentia; Cricetidae.
CAAGGAUGAAUAUUUGAGUUACAUUUCCAUGGACAGCAGGGGUUUCCUUUGCCCCCUUGGUUGAUACAGUGGACUGGAGAAGGUCAAGGCCCACAUAGAUCCAACCUUGGCUUGUCAUUAGCAUGAUGCUCUAAGAGUAUGGAUUAACCCAAUCCCUGAUGGAGCAGGAAGUUACUCAAACUAUAUAUCCCUUCUUCACUUUGCACUGCCAUUUGUUACCAGCCUGGAGUUUUGAUCUGAUUCAUUUUUCUCUGCUAGGUAAAGAAUUAAAAGGCAGGUAAAAGUCUCAGACACAGCAGAUAGAAUCAACUGUCAAAGGCUUUUAUUAAGGGUGAGGAGACAUAUAUAGGGAAAAAGACACCCUGCAGAGGGGAGAGGGGUCUUGGUAGCUGAAGUCCCGGCUCUUUUUGAGGACUCUGGGUUUUAAGGCUCUUCCUCCCCUAAUUUAGGGUUGAUCAGUUUGGACAAAGACAGAGAGGCUGCUAGGCCCACAGCUUUGUGGGUAAAUAUGUCCUAAUCUAGCCUUGAAUUUGUGGGGCCUGAAUAAAGGCAGAUGGCCCUGCUGGUGGUAGGAAAAGCCCACCAGGCCUUUAAGAAUCAGAAAUGUGAGGGAGAAGUCAGAUUCUGCCAUCUUUAUUAUGCAUUGGUGGCCCUUCUUUCUAUAUGUCUGCCUAUGAGGGAUCUGUCUAACUUCUAGGCCUUCACAUCUGGCAGGGGAUGGUCCCUGUGACUGUUGCUUUGCAAAGUGAAUGAGAUAAAGACCGAACAGAUGAAGUGCUGUUUACCAUCAGCUGUGCUCCCAACGGUAGGUCUUUAGCUAAGUCAAUGUUUAACCCUUGUCCUAGAGUCAAUGUUUAAUCCCAGGACAGCCGGUUGUAUAAUACAGCAUUCCCUAUCAAGCUGAGAGUAUAGUUUACCAUUAAUCACCGAAAACCAGCAUUGAGACAGUGAAUCUGCUAAGGCUAAAUUGCAUCUUCUCCACCUUUGAAAGGGGCACCAGCUGUUUAGAAUUCCUCAUUGCACAGUAGCCCAUCAGCAGAUAACGAUCGAGUUUUCUGACCUCAGUGACCUCAUUCUGAACACAAUGCUCCUUCUUGUCCCCGUUCUGCCUGGAGAUUCUGGGGAAGAGCAUGGGAUGGGACUAUUGCCCCUGUUUGUCUAGCUGGCAACCAGAGAGCUGCUAGAUAGCAACAGGUUAAGUGCGAACCUUGUUUUGAAUCCUGCUAAGAGCGAUGGAAUGGAAAAGUUCAUUUGGCUAGUAUUGAGCAAGUUUGCUGAAACUUGCUGAGCCUAGAGUGGGCCUGAUUCUUUUUUCCACAGAUAUGAAGAGAUUGCAGCCAGAGGCAUCUGGAAGAGUUCAGAGAAGGGUGAGAAAGUAGUAGACUCAACAUGCCAGUAGACUGAGG